This 274-nucleotide ribosomal RNA is filed under the name uncultured bacterium. Its description in RNAcentral is "partial 16S ribosomal RNA". It matches the Rfam family "Bacterial small subunit ribosomal RNA", at positions 523 to 796 of the family's 1533-position model. The record is from RNAcentral.
AGACAGAGGUGGCAAGCGUUGUUCGGAUUUACUGGGCGUAAAGCGCGCGUAGGCGGUUGCAUGUGUCAGAUGUGAAAUCCCAAGGCUUAACCUUGGAAUGGCAUUUGAAACUAUGCAACUUGAGGACAGGAGGGGGAAGCGGAAUUCCCGGUGUAGCGGUGAAAUGCGUAGAUAUCGGGAAGAACACCGGUGGCGAAGGCGGCUUCCUGGACUGUCCCUGACGUUGAGGCGCGAAAGCGUGGGUAGCAAACAGGAUUAGAUACCCCGGUAGUCC